GGGAGGCGGGCGCACGGAGAGGCGCCUCCCAGUUGGGUCCCACCCGUGGCCACGCAGGUCCAGAACUGCCAGUGUCCAGAAUUUCAAUAAGAGAUUUUUUUUUUUUAAAUGCAGAACCAUUUGAAUUCUGAAUGUUGGCUCACUUAGCAAGAAGGCUAGGGGGCCAGGCGGAACCUGCCCGCUGGUGACUGCUAGUUUGCUGGGAUUGUGGUAACCGAGGGCCACAGAUGGUGGCUUAACCCAUAGGAAUUUGUGAUCUCGUAACCUGAAGCCCAGAAGGCCCAGAUCCGUGUUGGCAGGGUUGAUUCCUUCCAAGGCGGUGAGGGAAGGAGCCGUUCGGCUCUGUCCAGGCUCUGUCCCCAGCUGGUGGACGGGCUUCUCCUCCCUUCCCAGCAUCUCCCCUCUCGGCACGUCUCUGCCGCCCAUCUCUUUUAUAAGAAUGUCAGCCGUGGUCUAGGAGGGUCCACCUGGUCACCCCGUCUGAACUUGCUUGCCUCUGUAAAGACCCUGUUUACAAAUGAGGCCACAUUCUGAGGGUCAGGGCUUGAACACCUGAACGUUGAGGGUGUGGUCAGCACGUGGCCGGUGGUGAGAUCCCGCGUGCGGCUGCUGGAGGGCGCCGUGCUGAUGGCCGGGGGUGUGUACGGGGGGAUGUAGACCAAGAAGCCAAGUGAAGAAUUUGUUGGAUAGUGACACCUGCCACGGACUGAGGGGAGCGGACAUCUAAGGGAGAUGAAUCUGCAAUUUUAAGUUGAGCGGUCAGGAGGUAAGGAGCUGGUCCAACUGGCCAUCAGGGAAGGUCGUCUGGUGGCGAGGAGAGUCCUGCGGUGAGGUCAUGUCCAUCAAGCCCAAGGAGUGCCGCGGUUCUGUUGCCCUCUGGCUUCUAGUCAUGCUUGGCCUGUGGGAGAGUUAGCAGGGGACCUCAGAGGGAGGCCCUGGCUGUCCCUGGACCUUGCUGUUUCCCGCCUUGUGCUGAAGGCCAGGGACAUCCUUCCUGUCUCUCCUGCUGCUUUGAGAUUGGCCCGCGCCUUGGCCAGCCGCUUCUUAAUGCUACACAAUCCUCGGCUUACGGAUGGAGUGCCAGCCUGGUUCUUGUUGGGACCGUGAUUGACACGUUGGGAUCACUGAGACAAGGGCUGUGUUCCUGGAAGCUGGGAAUCACAAACUGUAGGAACCAGGAUCCAGUCAUCGCGUUGGCAGUUACAGCUGAGACCCUCUUCUCCUUCUGCAGGUGAGUCGUGGGUUGGGGUCAGGGGCAACCUGGCUCCUACAGGUGGCUGGCCAGGGGCGCCUGCUCUGUGCAGUCCCCAGCCUGCGGGGCUGGUUACUGGGCAGGGGUCACAGCCAGCUCCCAACAGGGGGCAGCACUGUCCUUGUUGCCCUUUUCAAAUUUUCCGUGGAGCCCUUUCCCCGUCCGUGGAAGAUGGAUGAUUUCGUUAUUCGUGGCACUUGGCAAUAAAUCUCGGAGUCGCGGCUGGCGCAAGCUCUUUCCCCGCGUAGCGUCUUCUGCUGGCUGCGAUUCAUCAUGGUUAAUCUUUCCUGCACCUCGGGG
Molecule: long non-coding RNA, 1552 nt
Filed under: Marmota monax (woodchuck)
Lineage: Eukaryota; Metazoa; Chordata; Mammalia; Rodentia; Sciuridae
Source: RNAcentral